This 699-nucleotide ribosomal RNA is filed under the name uncultured bacterium. Its description in RNAcentral is "bacterial SSU rRNA". It matches the Rfam family "Bacterial small subunit ribosomal RNA", at positions 1 to 702 of the family's 1533-position model. The record is from RNAcentral.
UAGAGUUUGAUCAUGGCUCAGGAUGAACGCUAGCGGCAGGCCUAACACAUGCAAGUCGAGGGGUAACAGAGAAGCUUGCUUCUGCUGACGACCGGCGCACGGGUGCGUAACGCGUAUGCAACCUACCUCAUACUGGAGAAUAGCCCUUGGAAACGAGGAUUAAUACUCCAUAGUAUCAUUCUUUCGCAUGUUAGAAUGAUUAAAGAAUUUCGGUAUGAGAUGGGCAUGCGUCCCAUUAGCUAGUUGGUGAGGUAACGGCUCACCAAGGCGACGAUGGGUAGGGGGCCUGAGAGGGUGGUCCCCCACACUGGUACUGAGACACGGACCAGACUCCUACGGGAGGCAGCAGUGAGGAAUAUUGGUCAAUGGAGGCAACUCUGAACCAGCCAUGCCGCGUGAAGGAUGACGGCCCUAUGGGUUGUAAACUUCUUUUAUAUGGGAAGAAACUUAUCUACGUGUAGAUAACUGACGGUACCAUACGAAUAAGGAUCGGCUAACUCCGUGCCAGCAGCCGCGGUAAUACGGAGGAUCCAAGCGUUAUCCGGAUUCAUUGGGUUUAAAGGGUCCGUAGGCGGAUUUUUAAGUCAGUGGUGAAAGCCGGCAGCUCAACUGUCGAACUGCCAUUGAUACUGGAAAUCUUGAGUACAAAUGAAGUAGGCGGAAUGAGUCAUGUAGCGGUGAAAUGCAUAGAUAUGACUC